UGAGGUCACGGCAAGACCAGCCGUUCAAUAGGUGCCAGGUAGAAGUCGGGUAACCGAUGGAGCUGAGGCAUCCUAACAGACCGAGAGAUUUGAAC
Molecule: ribosomal RNA, 95 nt
Filed under: Cosmarium ornatum
Lineage: Eukaryota; Viridiplantae; Streptophyta; Zygnematophyceae; Desmidiales; Desmidiaceae
Description: 4.5S ribosomal RNA
Rfam family: Bacterial large subunit ribosomal RNA
Source: RNAcentral